Molecule: non-coding RNA, 27 nt
Filed under: Cricetulus griseus (Chinese hamster)
Lineage: Eukaryota; Metazoa; Chordata; Mammalia; Rodentia; Cricetidae
Source: RNAcentral
AGAGGAAGAAACAUUGUGUAGGAGAUG